This is a long non-coding RNA of Notothenia coriiceps (black rockcod), 161 nucleotides long. RefSeq lists it as uncharacterized. Lineage: Eukaryota; Metazoa; Chordata; Actinopteri; Perciformes; Nototheniidae. The transcript is spliced from 3 exons. The record is from RefSeq and is a predicted model, not a curated record.
UCUCACAGAUCCAAAUCUAAAUUGCACCUACAAUUACACUGGCGAAGGACCUUGCCAGGUUAGAUGUUUCGAGACAAAGGAAAUGUGUAAAAAAACCAGAUAUAAUAAAGAAGUCUGCAGCAAAAUUGAUCCAAUAUCAAGGACAAAGUACACAUCAAACC